Molecule: long non-coding RNA, 240 nt
Organism: Rhodamnia argentea
Lineage: Eukaryota; Viridiplantae; Streptophyta; Magnoliopsida; Myrtales; Myrtaceae
Exons: 3
Source: RefSeq, a predicted model, not a curated record
UGAUUAUAGCUAUUGGUUUUUUAAAUAUGCUGGAAUGAUUACAUACUCACUUAUUUAGUGGUAUUGUCCAGAUGAGCAUGGCUCAGACUUUGAUCGAUAUGGAAUACUUAUAAAAGUGAAAUUCAGGCAAGCUGGACAACUUCAAGUUCUUAGCGCUCACCACCAAUCUGGAGGGGAACGCUCCGUAUCAACUAUUCUUUACCUUGUUUCCCUUCAAGACCCGACUAACUGCCCAUUUAG